UAUAGUUAUGAGCCGUUCCCGAAAGGAUAAGUUUAGCUUGUUCGACGAAGAAUAAGUGAUGCUUAGAUGCCUUGUAACCGAAAUUAUCAAGGGGGAAUUUAUUGUG
Molecule: regulatory RNA element, 106 nt
Rfam family: SAM-III riboswitch aptamer (SMK box)
Source: Rfam